UCUUCCCAAUGGCCCUGGAAUUUUGCGCUGGUGUUCUCAUCACUCUCCAGGUGAGGGAACUGAAGCCCAGCCUGUCGUCAUCUGUCUCAGCACUCUGAAAGGAAGAUCCAGUUACAGCAGAGUUUCUCGUGGAAUGCCCAGCCUCACCAAUAGUAUCUUGCUUGCAGAAGGCACUCAGAAUGACUGGCUAUGAUGGAAACAGCCACCAUGUUGUGAGGACACUCAAUUAGCCUUGUGGAGAGACCCACAUGGGUGAGAAACUAAGGGCUGCCACCAACAGCCCACAUCCACUUGCCAGCUCUGAGAGCAAAUAGAUCCUGCAGGCCUAGUCAAGCCUCAUUUGACUGACGCCUCAGUCAACAUCUUGACUGCAAGCCCAUGCAAAACACUGAGCCAGAAACCACCCACCCAAGAAGCUGUGAAUUCCUGACUGGCAAAAAAUGCUGAGCAGAAAACCAGGAAAUGGAUGGACUCCACCUCCGCAGCCACGCCUGCCCGUUUGCGCUUACUGAACAGAGGUCCUCAGGAACGUGGCAACUAUGGCUUGUCUGAGUCCUGAGCCAGCAGAGCUCAGGCCACAGCACCUGCACCCGUUUUCUGCUGCUGCACACAAGGGCUCUGUGCAUUCCGCAUCCAGGUGUGCCCCUCCUCUUCUGGAGGAUUCUUUUUCAGGCUGUCCCAGAGACUUUGCAGCACAGCAUCCUUGCUCUAUUUCUUCCUGCAACAUCUCUGCUGAAGCUCUAUUGCUUUUGGCAACUCUUCCGUCUAUUUUGUGGUUUAGGUGUCUCCUACUUUUACUAAAAAUGGAAUUUGUGUUUUUAUCGCUCAAGUCCUUUUUGCUUUUGGAUUACUUCCAGAAAAUGAAGGGAGGGUUACUAACUUUAUGCCAUCUUCAAACCAGAAGAUCUUAGAUUAGUAAGAUCAUGUUGGCCAUGGCAUGGAGAAUGGGCUGGAGGUGGAGAGACUGGAGGUUGGAAGUCCAGUUAGGAGAUUGCUCCUGCGCUGGGGAGUUGGUGUUAGGACAGAAGAUCCAAGACGCGUUUCAGAGGCUGUCGAGGACUGAAGGAGGCCCUUGUUCAGCAGAAGAGAGGUAAGAGCAAGUCUUUGUCUAUAAAAACCCACUGGAGGCUGCAGGUGGAUUAUCUUGUUUAAUCCUCACAACUUCCUAAUGAGGGCCCCUCUUCUUGGGCCUGCGAUUCCUCACCUGGAAGGGAGAAGAGUGGACUUCCUGCCUAGAGAACACCUUGGUAAACUCUUUGUGGUUCCUGUCAUGAGAAGGUGUGCAGCUUAGGGAAAAAGCCUGUGAGCUCUGGAAUCAGAUGGAACUGGAUAUGAAUUUCCAUUUAGUGCUUGUUGGAUUAAAUGUGAUGCUAGUUCUCCCAGCCGAAAGAAUAAAACUGGUAAGAGGAAGGGAAAUGCAGCCUCAGUAAGGAGGCCUCCAUUCUGGAAGGGCUUCCCAGGCCCAGAGAAGGGAGAAAGUAAUUUGGAACCACCCAAGUAUUGGUGAUGCCAGGCCUCACCCUACCCUGGGGAUAUUUGAAUCUCAAAAAGGGAGCAUGGGAAUCUGACAAAGCACUUGCAUGUAUAAAGAACUCCUCCAAAUCAACAAGGCAAAAACCUCAUUAGAUACAUAGGCAAAAACCUCAGAAGAGCCACAUCACAAAGGAGCACCUCCAAAUGGCCAAGAAGCAUAUGAAAAUAUGUUCAAUCUCAUUAGCCAACAGGGAAUUCAAAUUAGAACUACACCAGGAUGGCUGAAAGUGCAAAGACUGACAAUAUCAAGGGCUGGUGGGGAUGCAGAACAACUGGAACUCUCCUAUGCACUGCGGAAGGGGUAAAUUAAUACCGCCCCUUUGGAAGAACAGUUUAGAAGCAUCACUAAAGCUGAAUAUAUUCAUGCCUACUCCGGAAAUCCUGAGCCCAGGUAUAUAUCUAACAGAAGUUUGUUUAUAAAGGCACCAAAAGUCAAUUACACAAGAUACAAGAAUGUUCAUAGUAGAGCCGUUUGUAUUAGUCAUAAACUGGAAACCACCCAAAUGCCCAUCAGUGGGGCUCCCUUUGAAGAACUGCCUUGGGGUUCAUGUUGCAGCAUCAAACAGGGAUGGAAGAUGCAUCUUGCUUUAGCAGCAGGAGCCUGGAAAGCAGCUGAAGCCCUGGAGGGUGCCUGGCACACAGAAUCUUGUGCUGAGCCCGGAGCACAAUGGGAGCGGGCUGGCGGGGUGGGUUCACAGCUGGACUGGGAGCAGCAGACAUACAGGCCGUAGGCACAGACAUAUAAAGACAGUCAUGCAGAUUGCAGGAUGCCUGAGAGCACAGACUCUCACAUGCACAAAUACGUGCAUGAUCGCCAGUGUGCAUCCAGACAGCCCCACAUGCAUGCACACGCAUGCACACAUGUGAUGUGUACAUAGAUGGACACAUGUCUAUGCCCACAAACACUGCAGAGACACAGAAGUGUCUGGCAAGGAACACUAUUUUGUCCUCAAUUUUCUGCCAGUGAGAGUCUACUGACUCCAUCUCUGAAAUGUCUCUACUUAUUGUCCCUCUUCUCCACCUGCACCACAUCCCUAGUCCCUGAAACUCCCACCGAGACCCCUGGGCAAUAGCAAAGUCUGCACAGGAUUCCUGCUCCGCCUCUACCCCACCCUUAAGCCCAUCCUACAUGCAAGAGCAGGAGUUAUCUGGGUAUCAAGCAAAUCUGACCACAUCACCUCCCCACUGCUUAAAACCCUUUCCUACAGGAUGAAGUUGAAAUCACUUGACAUCCCAUAUAAGGCCCUUGACUGUCUGGCAUCAGCCAUAGUCUGGCCUCAGGCCCUGGCAUGGAGUCCCCUGGACUCAGUGCUCUGGCUGAGGGCCUCCAGGAUGAAGAUACCCUGUGCAAAGCCUCACACUUUUGCUGUUGCUGGGCUCACUGUGUGAAAUUCCCUCCUCCCUCCUUCCACCUUCCCUAUGCUGAACUGCCACUCCUCCAUCCUCCAUGGCCAGCUAAGCCAACACCUCCCCACUUCCUCCUGACAACCCAGGCACAGCCACUGACCUGUCCCAUGGCUGUCACAGCCCUUUCUUGGGCUCUCAAUGGUAUCAUUGUCACCUGUGUGCUCAUGAGCCUCUGCCACUCAACUCCAAGCACAUCAAAUAAAGAGCUCAAAACAUA
RNAcentral lists this long non-coding RNA (3157 nucleotides) under Homo sapiens (human). RNAcentral's name for it is "long non-coding RNA NONHSAT170948.1". Lineage: Eukaryota; Metazoa; Chordata; Mammalia; Primates; Hominidae. The record is from RNAcentral.